GGGUGCUAUAAUGCAAGUCGAACGCUUUGUGGUUCAACUGAUUUGAAGAGCUUGCUCAGAUAUGACGAUGGACAUUGCAAAGAGUGGCGAACGGGUGAGUAACACGUGGGAAACCUACCUCUUAGCAGGGGAUAACAUUUGGAAACAGAUGCUAAUACCGUAUAACAAUGACAACCGCAUGGUUGUUAUUUAAAAGAUGGUUCUGCUAUCACUAAGAGAUGGUCCCGCGGUGCAUUAGCUAGUUGGUAAGGUAAUGGCUUACCAAGGCGAUGAUGCAUAGCCGAGUUGAGAGACUGAUCGGCCACAAUGGGACUGAGACACGGCCCAUACUCCUACGGGAGGCAGCAGUAGGGAAUCUUCCACAAUGGUCGAAAGCCUGAUGGAGCAACGCCGCGUGUGUGAUGAAGGGUUUCGGCUCGUAAAACACUGUUGUAAGAGAAGAAUGACAUUGAGAGUAACUGUUCAAUGUGUGACGGUAUCUUACCAGAAAGGAACGGCUAAAUACGUGCCAGCAGCCGCGGUAAUACGUAUGUUCCAAGCGUUAUCCGGAUUUAUUGGGCGUAAAGCGAGCGCAGACGGUUAUUUAAGUCUGAAGUGAAAGCCCUCAGCUCAACUGAGGAAUUGCUUUGGAAACUGGAUGACUUGAGUGCAGUAGAGCAAAGUGGAACUCCAUGUGUAGCGGUGAAAUGCGUAGAUAUAUGGAAGAACACCAGUGGCGAAGGCGGCUUUCUGGACUGUAACUGACGUUGAGGCUCGAAAGUGUGGGUAGCAAACAGGAUUAGAUACCCUGGUAGUCCACACCGUAAACGAUGAGUGCUAGGUGUUUGAGGGUUUCCGCCCUUAAGUGCCGCAGCUAACGCAUUAAGCACUCCGCCUGGGGAGUACGACCGCAAGGUUGAAACUCAAAGGAAUUGACGGGGACCCGCACAAGCGGUGGAGCAUGUGGUUUAAUUCGAAGCAACGCGAAGAACCUUACCAGGUCUUGACAUCCCUUGACAACUCCAGAGAUGGAGCGUUCCGUUCGGGGACAUGGUGACAGGUGGUGCAUGGUUGUCGUCAGCUCGUGUCGUGAGAUGUUGGGUUAAGUCCCGCAACGAGCGCAACCCUUAUUACUAGUUGCCAGCAUUCAGUUGGGCACUCUAGUGAGACUGCCGGUGACAAACCGGAGGAAGGUGGGGAUGACGUCAAAUCAUCAUGCCCCUUAUGACCUGGGCUACACACGUGCUACAAUGGCGUAUACAACGAGUUGCCAACCCGCGAGGGUGAGCUAAUCUCUUAAAGUACGUCUCAGUUCGGAUUGUAGGCUGCAACUCGCCUACAUGAAGUCGGAAUCGCUAGUAAUCGCGGAUCAGCACGCCGCGGUGAAUACGUUCCCGGGUCUUGUACACACCGCCCGUCACACCAUGAGAGUUUGUAACACCCAAAGCCGGUGGGGUAACCUUCGGGAGCCAGGCGUCUAAGGUG
Molecule: ribosomal RNA, 1464 nt
Filed under: Weissella sp.
Lineage: Bacteria; Bacillati; Bacillota; Bacilli; Lactobacillales; Lactobacillaceae
Description: bacterial SSU rRNA
Rfam family: Bacterial small subunit ribosomal RNA
Source: RNAcentral